AGAGUUUGAUCCUGGCUCAGAACGAACGCUGGCGGCAUGCCUAACACAUGCAAGUCGAACGCUUACCGGGCUUCGGUUCGGUAGGAGUGGCGCACGGGUGAGUAGCGCGUGGGAACCUGCCCUGGAGUGGGGGAUAACCGAGGGAAACUUCGGCUAAUACCGCAUGCGCCCCGGAGCAAUCCGGGGGAAAGAUUUAUCGCUCUAGGAGGGGCCCGCGUCGGAUUAGCUAGUUGGUGGGGUAACGGCCCACCAAGGCACCGAUCCGUAGCUGGUCUGAGAGGAUGAUCAGCCACACUGGGACUGAGACACGGCCCAGACUCCUACGGGAGGCAGCAGUGGGGAAUAUUGGACAAUGGGCGCAAGCCUGAUCCAGCAAUGCCGCGUGAGUGAUGAAGGCCUUAGGGUUGUAAAGCUCUUUCGCCCGCGACGAUGAUGACGGUAGCGGGAGAAGAAGCCCCGGCUAACUUCGUGCCAGCAGCCGCGGUAAUACGAAGGGGGCGAGCGUUGUUCGGAAUCACUGGGCGUAAAGGGCGCGUAGGCGGCCCUCCUAGUCGCGUGUGAAAGCCCCGGGCUCAACCUGGGAACGGCGCGCGAAACGGGGGGGCUGGAGUUCGGGAGAGGAGCGUGGAAUUCCCAGUGUAGAGGUGAAAUUCGUAGAUAUUGGGAAGAACACCGGUGGCGAAGGCGGCGCUCUGGACCGAGACUGACGCUGAGGCGCGAAAGCGUGGGGAGCAAACAGGAUUAGAUACCCCCGUAGUCC
This 760-nucleotide ribosomal RNA is filed under the name uncultured bacterium. RNAcentral describes it as "bacterial SSU rRNA". It matches the Rfam family "Bacterial small subunit ribosomal RNA", at positions 8 to 796 of the family's 1533-position model. The record is from RNAcentral.